GAGAAUUUUACGAAUUCGACGAUAAUCGUCCAAUCGUGUGAAUUUCAAAAAAACUACAUUCUUAAUGAUUCUAAAUGGAUUUUAAUCAACAAAGGAUCAUUACAAGUUACUUAUUAAACCAACUUAUAGACAAAGUAGGUUUUGACUUAUUCUCAUAAGUCAAUGACUUAUUUAACUUAUGAACUAUAAUUCCUCAUGCUUAUGACUUUCUAUGAACUUAAGUCCACCAAUCAAUGUUCUCAUACUAUAAUCAACAUGAUGUUAGAAUGUUGUAGUAUUUGAGCUACCUGAGGGAAUUAUAGUGUUUAAAUUUUCAAGACGAAAAUAAAAGUUUUCCGAGAAAUUAUUUGAAAAAUACUAUUCAUCGGUAUUUGCUCGGGAAUUAUUUUUGAAUUUUUGAGAAAUACGUAAUGAUAGAAUGUCAAGGUAAGACGAAUUAUGUAAUAAUAAUCUAAGUAUGGAUAACGAAAUAUUUCACUUGUGGACUUAAAUUGAGGAUGUUAAGGAAAGUGAUUUAUUAAUAAGUUAAGUAAUAAUCGUAUGAUACGUGAGUAUUGUACGACGUAAUGAAUACGAGUAUAAUACAAUGUAUUAUAUGAAUUUGUAUGAAGGACGGUAUAUCAUAUAUAACGAAGUUGUAUAUGAAUUAGAAUACGAGAAUGAUAAGUCAACAAUACGUAUAUGUAUUGAGCAAUGAUAUUGGAUUUGUAAGAUUGGUUAGGAAUUUAUUCAAACCCAAGUGAAUAAAUUAUAAGGCCCAAAUGUUAAUUAAUGAACAAGUUAAUGUUUAUUAAUGCAAGCCCAAAGGUUAAGUUAAUCUAAGCCCAAGCUAGGAUCCAUGAGUUGAUUGACCCAUGGAGCAAACCAUGUUAAUGUGGUUAAUCUUGAUAAUCAAGUAUUAGGUGUGAUGACCAAGUAUUAUGUGUGAUGACCAAGACUUAGAUGUAAUGAUCAAGCAAGAGAUAAGUGUUGUGCUAAUCAAGUAAUUAAUAGUAAGGAGGUGGCUUAAGGAGGUGGGUUGGUAUAUUGACCAAACUACCAUAACUUUGGGAAUUCUAUAAAUAGAAGGAGAAUGUUAGUCAUUUGCUAAUUGUUCAAAUCAUCCAACAAACUUAUAAAGUGCUCAAGUGUUAGAGAGAAUAAGUUACUUCCAUUUGUAAGAAGAAGAAGAAGACUUUUUACAAGAACUUCAAAGGGUAAGACUUCUUCUCCAUUUAUCUUCUAUCUCUACCAUGAUAGGUUGAUAAGAAAAGUAUGGAUUAAGGAACAUGGAUGUUAAGAAAUAAGAAGAAUUAUUAAUCAAUGGAUUUAAGCCGCAUAAGUCAGAAAUAAGUCAUUUAAGCUAGCAUAAGUUAUUAACUUAUGAAGAAGUAAUAUGAACUUGUUAUGAGUUUAUCUUAAGAAGUAGUAUGUAAGUAAAGAAUUUGUCUCAUGUAUACAUGAAUGAAACUAUGUAUUGAGAACAUAUAAAGGUGAUGAUUAAUAGAUUUUAAUUAUCAUAAG
This 1503-nucleotide long non-coding RNA is filed under the name Panax ginseng (ginseng). RNAcentral describes it as "long non-coding RNA (PGIN_LNC002660)". The record is from RNAcentral. Lineage: Eukaryota; Viridiplantae; Streptophyta; Magnoliopsida; Apiales; Araliaceae.